RNAcentral lists this long non-coding RNA (207 nucleotides) under Carica papaya (papaya). RNAcentral describes it as "long non-coding RNA (CPAP_LNC004966)". Lineage: Eukaryota; Viridiplantae; Streptophyta; Magnoliopsida; Brassicales; Caricaceae. The record is from RNAcentral.
AGGUACCAGUAGUGCGUUUCAGUUUCCCGGGAAAAAUUCAGGGAAAAUUAGGGACAGCCUGCAAGCGCACUGUGAAACCGUGUUCGGACCCCGAAACGAGUAAGGACCCCUCACCCUAUUUCCUAUCACGGUUUUAAAGUUCAAUAAAUGAUAAAACGGUAUUUCAUGAAUCAACGAAUGUGUGAAAUUGCUUAAGGUCGCUAAUGG